RNAcentral lists this ribosomal RNA (406 nucleotides) under uncultured bacterium. Its description in RNAcentral is "partial 16S ribosomal RNA". It matches the Rfam family "Bacterial small subunit ribosomal RNA", at positions 30 to 526 of the family's 1533-position model. The record is from RNAcentral.
AUUGAACGCUGGCGGCAGGCCUAACACAUGCAAGUCGAACGAGUGGCGGACGGGUGAGUAAUGUCUGGGAAACUAGCUUAUGGAGGGGGAUAACUACGGGAAACUGUAGCUAAUACCGCGUACCAUAGGAUGAGCCCAAGUGGGAUUAGGUAGUUGGUGAGGUAAAGGCUCACCAAGGCGACGAUCUCUAGCUGGUCUGAGAGGAUGACCAGCCACACUGGAACUGAGACACGGCCCAGACUCCUACGGGAGGCAGCAGUGGGGAAUAUUGCACAAUGGGCGCAACCCUGACGCAGCCAUGCCGCGUGAAUGAAGAAGGCCUUCGGAUUGUAAAGUUCUUUCAGUUGGGAGGCGUUAACUACAGAAUAAGCACCGGCUAACUCCGUGCCAGCAGCCGCGGUAAUAC